GUGAGGAAUUUUCCGCAAUGGGCGAAAGCCUGACGGAGCAAUGCCGCGUGAAGGAUGAAGGCCUAUGGGUUGUAUACUUCUUUUCUCAGAAAAGAAUUAUGACGGUAUCUGAGGAAUAAGCAUCGGCUAACUCUGUGCCAGCAGCCGCGGUAAGACAGAGGAUGCAAGCGUUAUCCGGAAUGAUUGGGCGUAAAGCGUCUGUAGGUUGUUUAAAAAGUAUUCUGUCAAAGAUUAGGGCUUAACCCUAGAUAGGCAGAAUAAACUUUUAAGCUAGAGUUUGGUAGAGGCAGAGGGAAUUCCCGGUGGAGCGGUGAAAUGCGUAGAUAUCGGGAGGAACACCAAAGGCGAAGGCACUCUGCUGGGCCAAUACUAACACUGAGAGACGAAAGCGAGGGGAGCAAAUGGGAUUAGAAACCCCAGUAGUCC
This 426-nucleotide ribosomal RNA is filed under the name uncultured bacterium. RNAcentral describes it as "partial 16S ribosomal RNA". It matches the Rfam family "Bacterial small subunit ribosomal RNA", at positions 354 to 796 of the family's 1533-position model. The record is from RNAcentral.